Equus caballus (horse) is the source of this 407-nucleotide non-coding RNA. The record is from RefSeq and is a predicted model, not a curated record. NCBI's taxonomy places the organism in Eukaryota, Metazoa, Chordata, Mammalia, Perissodactyla, Equidae.
AGACGGCCCUGGGACAGGGACGUUCGCCAAAACCUCCCCAAGGCCGCUUUCCGUGACCGAGUCGGCCUCCCCGCCUGUACUCGUCCCGGCCCGAGAAACGAGACGCGGGGUGGAUCGGGACCAGGCGACGCACCAGGCCGGCCGGCGCUGCAUCCUCCCUCCCCCGACCUGACCUGACCUGGACGAACGCCUCCCCAUCGCCCGCCCCCGCGAGGCUGAUCCGUCCGGCCGGUGAGGAGGCCGCUUGUCGGGCGCCACCGGCUGCCCGGCAUCCUCUUAUAUAGUGUUCGAGGAGGUCGACCAGAAAGAAGAACGUGGACUUCUUUAGAGGAGUCCUUUGAAUAGCUUCUCCAUUUAGUUAACAUACAUCCAAAUGGAGGUCGGGAAACUUGGGUCCUGUUAACAUA